GAUGAACGCUAGCGGCAGGCUUAACACAUGCAAGUCGAGGGGUAUCACGCUUUCGGGCGUGAGAGACCGGCGCACGGGUGCGUAACGCGUAUACAAUCUACCUUUUACAGAGGGAUAGCCCAGAGAAAUUUGGAUUAAUACCUCAUAGUAUUUUCGAAUCGCAUGAUUUGAUUAUUAAAGUUCCAACGGUAAAAGAUGAGUAUGCGUCCCAUUAGCUAGAUGGUAAGGUAACGGCUUACCAUGGCAACGAUGGGUAGGGGUCCUGAGAGGGAGAUCCCCCACACUGGUACUGAGACACGGACCAGACUCCUACGGGAGGCAGCAGUGAGGAAUAUUGGACAAUGGGCGCAAGCCUGAUCCAGCCAUGCCGCGUGCAGGAAGACGGUCCUAUGGAUUGUAAACUGCUUUUAUACAGGAAGAAACACCUCUACGUGUAGAGACUUGACGGUACUGUAUGAAUAAGGAUCGGC
This 470-nucleotide ribosomal RNA is filed under the name uncultured bacterium. Its description in RNAcentral is "bacterial SSU rRNA". It matches the Rfam family "Bacterial small subunit ribosomal RNA", at positions 28 to 497 of the family's 1533-position model. The record is from RNAcentral.